CCAGAAAGAUAACGGAGGUUGUUUAGAUGCUUUGGGAGCAUAAGGUCGCAGGUUCGAAUCCUGCUUUCUGGA
Molecule: transfer RNA, 72 nt
Filed under: Chitinophagales bacterium
Lineage: Bacteria; Pseudomonadati; Bacteroidota; Chitinophagia; Chitinophagales
Description: tRNA-Pro
Rfam family: tRNA
About the family: Transfer RNA (tRNA) molecules are approximately 80 nucleotides in length. Their secondary structure includes four short double-helical elements and three loops (D, anti-codon, and T loops).
Source: RNAcentral